CGGGAAAACAGGUGUUCUCAUUCUUUAAGACGGCGCGCGCCUUCCUCCUCCCGCUUCGUUUGCGCGUUCGCGCGUCCAAAUGGCGAAAUUUCAGUUUGCACACCUGGAAAAAAAUGUGACCGUGUCAGGAGAUGGUGGAGCCGAGUCCGCGCUUCGAUGCAACUUCAUUCUUCAGUCGUUUGCAGUUGGACACGGGGGAACAUCCGUGUUUCACAGCGUCGAAUAAAGGUCGACUGCCUUCAAAUGUCUUUUAUUCCACUGGGAGUGGCAAUACAAUACUCUCAGUACGUCGAGGAGUUGUCAGCUGGUUUUGGACCUAGGUUCCGCCUUGAGCGUUGCCGGUGGGGUCGUGCCUGUCCAACUGCGCUCAAAGAACGAGUGUUCGGAGGAACUGGCGCAUUUAGCGCAACGUCUGAGGUUUUGAAAAGGAAGCUUUGUCUAUGAAACUCUGGCCAAGAGAUGUCUCCGAGGACUACAAAGGUUAUAUCAGCGGAAGUCAAUGUUAUGAAGACAGCAUCAGUUUGUGGAGUAGAACUUUCGCAGUCUACCCAAACAACAUAGUCCAGGGCUUUUUAGGAGACAAGGCAUGCUGAAGCGAACAAAUGCAGGCUUGGUGAAUGAUCUUUUCUCUGCAGCCCCGGCAUCGUAACAUGUGCUUGGGAAUACAGCGCAGCAUCUGGAAACUCCAGCUGUGAUUCUCGACUUACGUGAAAGGCACGAUGGGACUUCAACGGAAAGGAAAGCUCUGUCUUUUUUGGCUGAACGACAGCAAUUCGAUGUGCCGUGAGAGAUACUGUUUCCUUCUUUAGAGAGUUAACUGCGAGCACACAACUGCGGCAUCGGGCGUGAAAGAACGCUCCAGUACCUAUGGGAUGGUGUGCCGUUGAAUCAUUUCUCUUUGACCGGAAACUCCAUACUUUCUGGCAUCCGUCCUUCUACGGUGACCUUUUCCUUGUUCCACUUCGUGAUCCGUCCUCGGUUUGUUCGCAUACGAGGCUGCCAUGAUACGCCGCUUUUAAGCCCGCAAACAAUGAUGACAAUGCUUCGUGGUAGAAUAGUGAAAGCGAACAGCUUUCGCUCUCUAAAGCAGUCCGGUA
RNAcentral lists this long non-coding RNA (1097 nucleotides) under Toxoplasma gondii VEG. Lineage: Eukaryota; Apicomplexa; Conoidasida; Eucoccidiorida; Sarcocystidae. The record is from RNAcentral.